UGCACUCCAGCCUGGGUGACAGAGCGAAACUCUGUCUCAAAAAAGAAAGCCUGUACAUGAAUGUUUACAGCAACUUUAACCAUAAUUGCCAAAACUUGGUAGCAACCAAGCUGUUCUUCAACAGGUGAAUGCAUGAACUCUGGUACACUCAGACUGUGGAAUAUUACUCAGCACUAAAAAGAAAUAAGCUGUCAAGCUGUGAAAAGACAUAGAGGAAUCUUAAACACGUAUUACUAAAGUGAAAAAAGCCCAUCUGAAAAGGUUAUAUACUAUGUGAUUCCAACUAUAUGACAUUCUGGAAAAAGCAAAACUAUGGAGACAUUAAAAAGAUCAGUGGUUGUCAGGGGUUGUGGGAGAGAGGAUGAAUAGGUAGGGCCCACAGGAUUUUCAGAGAAGUGAAACUAUCCUAUAUGAUACCACAGUGGUAGAUGUCAGGACACGUCUCAACCCAUAGAACGGGCAACACCAAGAGUAAACCCUAACGUGAACUGUGGACUUUGGUUGACAACGACGUGUCAACAUAGGUUCAUCGGCCGUAACAAAUGUACCACUCUGGUGCAGGAUGGUGGGGGAGGUGGUAUGUGUGGCGAGGGUUUGGGGGCAUGUGGGAAAUCUCUGUACUUUCCACGUAGUUUUGCUGUGAACCUAAAGUUGCUCUAAAAAAAUAAAAUCUAGCCGGGCACGGUGGCUCGUGCUUCUAAUCCCAACACUUUGGGAGGCCGAGGUGGGUGGGUUGCUUGAGGUCAGGAGUUCGUAACCAGCCUGGCCAACGUGGUGAAACCCCGUCUUUACUAAAAAUACAAAAAUUAG
This 810-nucleotide long non-coding RNA is filed under the name Homo sapiens (human). RNAcentral describes it as "non-protein coding lnc-NCBP2-AS2-6:2". The record is from RNAcentral. Lineage: Eukaryota; Metazoa; Chordata; Mammalia; Primates; Hominidae.